AGGCCUCCCUCCUCAGUCUCUCAAGUAGCUGGCACUACAGGCACACGCCACUGCACCAGGCUCAAAGAAUUCUUAGCUUCCUUUUCAAAUGUUAACACCUUUUAUAACCACAUUAUAGGGAAUUAACCUUAAUAGUAUUAACUAUUUACAGACCUUCUUCAGAUUUCUCCACUUGAACUACUAAUGUCCUUUUCUGUUCCAGAAUCAGGUUUUCAUAUCACCUUAGUAUCCUCCCAUCUAGGAUAAUUCCUCAGCUUUUCUUUGUCUUUCAUAACCUUGAUGAAUACUAUUUAGUUAUUGUAUAGAAUGUAUUCGAUUUGGGUUUGUCUGAUUUUUCUUCUGAUGAAAUUCAGGUUAUAUGUAUUUGGCAAGAAUACCACAAAAGCAGCAUUGUGUCUUCUCAGAGCAUCAUAUCAGGAGAAAUGUAUCUUCAGCAUAGAUUCCUAGAAGUGAGAUUUCUGGGUCAAAGGAGCCCUUAAGUCAAGGAGCAGACAUGUGCCAACUAGGAGGCCUUGGUGGAUGGCCAGUUCUAAACAACUGAAGGCCAACCCUGACUCUCACUCUGUCCUUGUAUCUUGUGGUACAUGCACCUGUGCAGUGUCACCAGUUCCAGGAAAUAAAUAAAGAGUUACACACAUG
Long non-coding RNA from Macaca mulatta (Rhesus monkey), 639 nucleotides. RefSeq lists it as uncharacterized. Lineage: Eukaryota; Metazoa; Chordata; Mammalia; Primates; Cercopithecidae. The record is from RefSeq and is a predicted model, not a curated record.